CUCUCCGGCCAUAUCUACUGGAAAGCACGAUGUCCCGUCCGAUCAAUCAUAAUUAAGCUAGCGAGAGCCUUGAUAAGCACUGAGGGUGGAGACCAUUUGGGAACACAAGAAGCUGCAGCCU
Molecule: ribosomal RNA, 121 nt
Filed under: Nadsonia fulvescens var. elongata DSM 6958
Lineage: Eukaryota; Fungi; Ascomycota; Dipodascomycetes; Dipodascales
Source: RNAcentral